AUUGAACGCUGGCGGCAGGCCUAACACAUGCAAGUCGAGCGGAGCGGCGGACGGGUGAGUAAUGCCUAGGAAUCUGCCUGGUAGUGGGGGAUACCGUCCGGAAACGGGCGCUAAUACCGCAUACUAUCAGAUGAGCCUAGGUCGGAUUAGCUAGUUGGUGGGGUAAAGGCCUCCCAAGGCGACGAUCCGUAACUGGUAUGAGAGGAUGAUCAGUCAGACUGGAACUGAGACACGGUCCAGACUCCUACGGGAGGCAGCAGUGGGGAAUAUUGGACAAUGGGCGAAAGCCUGAGCCAGCCAUGAGGGGGGUAUGAAGAAGGUCUUCGGAGUGUAAAGCACUUAAAGUUGGGAGGCGGUACCAACAGAAUAAGCACCGGCUAAUUUCGUGCCAGCAGCCGCGGUAAUUC
Molecule: ribosomal RNA, 407 nt
Filed under: uncultured bacterium
Lineage: Bacteria
Description: partial 16S ribosomal RNA
Rfam family: Bacterial small subunit ribosomal RNA
Source: RNAcentral